UUAAGGCACUCUUGCCAAAGUAACCAACGCAAAACUUUAUGAGUGGAGAAUGUGAAGAUUGUUAAUCUCUCAACAACUUAUCACUAAUUCACAAUCACAAUAUCGCAAGCAACGCGCGUCGCAACAGUUUCUGUAUUUCUAUUUUGCUGCCCAGUUUUGAUUUUUUAUUCGAGUUAGCCGAAAUUUGUAUUUACAAUUUUUUGAAAAUGAAUAAUAUUAUUAAAAUAAAUAUCAUAAUGAAGGCGAUAUAUACGAAACUGGCAGCUAAAACUGAAGCAUUCUUUGCCCAUCCGGCUGCAACGUCCGUAUUGGUGUUUGCAUUAUUCGUCGAUCAGCACUAUUUAACCAAUCGUGCUAUCAACAAAGCGAAGAAAGACUAUAAUACAGCGUUACUUAAAUUGAAAGCGAAAACGGAAGAACACGAAAAACGUAUAACAGAGCUCGAAAAAGCUUAUAAAAUAGAUCCAAACUUAAUAUGUGAGUUUCUAUCAAGUCUAAAGUGUCCAGAAUUGUGUCGUGAUACUUCAACGUUUUGAACAAGAAUCAUCGCAGUCGAGCUGAAUAAAUCAUCGAGAUAUUAUCCGAAGCGUUAUAAAAUAUCGAUAUCAAUGGGUAUACUUUUCAUUUCGAGUGUACUAUAACAUGUAAUAAUAUGUAUCCAGUUUUUUUCUUUUUUAUUGUAUAUAUUUACCUAUGUCGAUUGCGUUUUCGUCAAUUUGGCGACGAUUUUUGAAAAUUUGUAUUAAAUAGUUCGAUCUCAGUGUC
Planococcus citri (citrus mealybug) is the source of this 765-nucleotide long non-coding RNA. RefSeq lists it as uncharacterized. The record is from RefSeq and is a predicted model, not a curated record. The transcript has 3 exons. Lineage: Eukaryota; Metazoa; Arthropoda; Insecta; Hemiptera; Pseudococcidae.